GGUUAUUUUCAAGUGGCCUGCGGCGCGCGAGAGCUAGCUUGAGCCAGGGGCAUAUUUUGUUUUUACGCAGUUGACUUGAAGCAUCUCUCUCGCUUUUUGCUGGUACAACAACUUCUCAAUUUCAAUAUUUCCAUAUU
This is a non-coding RNA of Caenorhabditis elegans, 137 nucleotides long. The record is from Ensembl. Lineage: Eukaryota; Metazoa; Nematoda; Chromadorea; Rhabditida; Rhabditidae.